This 259-nucleotide unclassified non-coding RNA is filed under the name Hevea brasiliensis (rubber tree). The record is from RNAcentral. Lineage: Eukaryota; Viridiplantae; Streptophyta; Magnoliopsida; Malpighiales; Euphorbiaceae.
AAGCACAAGCACAAGCACAAGCUACCAUCUCUAUUUGAAACAAUAUAUUUGAAAAUUGAAACUGAUCCAUAUGUUUGUGUUGUCAAUUUGGCCUAUCAUGGCAUACAUAUCAACCUGGAUAAGAUAGAAUAUCAUCUACUGCUAACUAAGAAAAUAAUAUAUAAAAUGUGGAGUAAAUUUCACACGUGGUCAAUUCACUUUACAAGUAUUUCAUAAAAGUCACUGAAUAAAACUGAUUGAACUUCAAUUUGAUUUCAUA